CCUACGGGAUGCAGCAGUGAGGAAUAUUGGUCAAUGGACGGAAGUCUGAACCAGCCAUGCCGCGUGCAGGAAGACGGCUCUAUGAGUUGUAAACUGCUUUUGUACAAGGGUAAACCUGAAUACGUGUAUUUAGCUGUAAGUACUUUACGACUAAGGAUCGGCUAACUCCGUGCCAGCAGCCGCGGUAAUACGGAGGAUCCAAGCGUUAUCCGGAUUUAUUGGGUUUAAAGGGUGCGUAGACGGAUUGAUAAGUUAGAGGUGAAAUGUUCGAGCUUAACUCUGGAACUGCCUAUAAUACUGUUAAUCUAGAGAGUAGAUGCGGUAGGCGGAAUGUAUGGUGUAGCGGUGAAAUGCUUAGAGAUCAUACAGAACACCGAUUGCGAAGGCAGCUUACCAAUCUAUAUCUGACGUUGAGGCACGAAAGCGUGGGGAGCAAACAGGAUUAGAUACCCCUGUAGUC
Molecule: ribosomal RNA, 460 nt
Filed under: uncultured bacterium
Lineage: Bacteria
Description: partial 16S ribosomal RNA
Rfam family: Bacterial small subunit ribosomal RNA
Source: RNAcentral